AGCGAACUUCAAGAUGAAUUUUCCCAUAUUUUUAUAAUAGUAAGAUCCCUGAAAGACUAUCAGGUUGAUAGGCUGGAGAUGGAAGUGUAGUGAUACAUUGAGUUGACCAGUACUAAUAGAUCGAGGAUUUAACCAU
Molecule: ribosomal RNA, 136 nt
Filed under: Bacilli bacterium
Lineage: Bacteria; Bacillati; Bacillota; Bacilli
Description: partial 23S ribosomal RNA
Rfam family: Bacterial large subunit ribosomal RNA
Source: RNAcentral